This is an RNA transcript of Astyanax mexicanus (Mexican tetra), 3635 nucleotides long. RefSeq lists it as uncharacterized. The transcript has 2 exons. NCBI's taxonomy places the organism in Eukaryota, Metazoa, Chordata, Actinopteri, Characiformes, Acestrorhamphidae. The record is from RefSeq and is a predicted model, not a curated record.
UCAGGGCUGUUUAUUGUAUUGGAUCAGAUCAAGUAAAAGAGUCAUUGUGAUGUAUUGAUUGGACAUGUUCUAAUAGUUUCAGCGCUUUGGACAGAUGUUUGCUGUGGUUUAAAAUGAAGACUGUAUUCUCUGUAGGUGAAUAUGGAAGGGUGGUUAGAGUUUCCCCCGGUCUCCAGUAAAGUGGAGCAGCAGAAGAUCCAGCUCUGAUCAGCAGCUCCACACCUCUGUACUCAGACUGCUCUGCUGGAGGAACACCAUCAGCUCACCUGCUGCAGAAUUAAUGCUGUCCUGCUCCACGUCUUCACCUGAUCUCUUGCCAACUUUCCUACUUGGAUAAAGUUUAGCUUUACAGACACAAUCUAGAAAAUGUUACAAAGAUGUUAAGAUGCUGAACGAAGAGGAAAGCAUGGAAUCCAGCAAAAUCUCAAGAACUCAACCAAUGCAGAAAAAUACAGCCACUGGAGAUAAACCAUAUCACUGUUCUGACUGUGGGAAGAGUUUUAAUCAAAAGAAUCAUCUCAAAACACACCAGCGCAUUCACACUGGAGAGAAACCAUUUCACUGCUCAGACUGUGGGAAGUGUUUUACUCAACAAAUUAAUCUUCAACAACACCAGCGCGUUCACAGUGGAGAGAAACCUUAUCACUGUUCAGACUGUGGGAAGAGAUUUGCUACAGAGGGUAACCUUAAAAUACAUCAGCGCAUUCACACUGGAGAGAAACCGUAUCAGUGCUCAGAGUGUGGGAAGAGUUUUAAUCAUCAAACUCAUCUCAGAAUUCACCAGCGCAUUCACACAGGAGUAAAACCAUAUCAGUGUUUAGACUGUGGAAAGAGUUUUAGUCAUCACAGUACUCUCCAGAAUCACCAGCACAUUCACACUGGAGAAAAACCCUAUUAUUGUUCAGAGUGUGGGAGGUUUUUUAGUCUUCAGACUCACCUCCAGAAACAUCAGCUCAUUCACACUGGAGAGAAACCGUAUAAUUGCUCAGAUUGUGGGAAGAGUUUUAAUCAACGGAGCCAUCUCCAACAGCACCAGCACAUUCACACUGGAGAGAAACCGUAUCGCUGUUCAGACUGUGGGAAGAGUUUUACUAGACAGAGUUAUUUCCAACAACACCUGCGCAUUCACACUGGAGAGAAACCGUAUUACUGCUCAGAGUGUGCAGAGAGAUUCAGGUAUUUACAGUCAUUCAAGAAACACAAGUGCAAAAAGAGUAGUCAUGGAAAUGGACAGUGACACACCUAAAACAAUUCCAGAAGGAAACUUCUUGCUUUAAACGAAGCAUAUUUAUUAACAGUCCAGCUUUCAGCCCAUACACUAAAUAUCCUUCCAAGCUAGAUACUGAAGUAAAUGAGCUGCAGUCUAUAGGUAGAGCUCUAUACGUAAGAUAUGGUGAAUGCAAUCACAAAAUCCAUAAUAAGUCCAUAAUUUUUUUUUUACUUUAAAUCUUACUUGAGUAAUGGUGCCAUCAUGGUCAUAUCAUGUUGUCAAUAAUAUUACAUGCUAAAUUCAUCAUACAGGUCUCAUUCAGCUAAAAUCCACUUUUUAACAUUUUAAAAUGUAAUUUUUUUUGUUCUUUGUGAAAUACAAUAGGUCUCUCUAGUUGUAUAUGCAUGCUGCAUAUGAAACUGUUUCUCAGCCUCCAUUGUCUGCAAUAGUUUGCAAAAGAAAAUCCUCAAAAAUACGAGUUGAUCAAAGAUAUGUAAAAUGUCGAGUCCGGGCUUGGCUCGUGCCGUUGAUAACGUUUCUUUGAGAAAUACUUCUAGAAUUCUCGCUUCUGUUCUGCAUCAAUACUGGAACCACCUUUAUUUUCAGCUAAUCCUUUGAAAUCCAUUAGUGAGGCAUGGACCAAUUCUUGAUCCUUUUUUUUAUAGCCAACAUUAUGGCAUCACAUCAAUUUCAAAAGUCAAGGGCGCCGGCUCUGUCUGCCCAGGUUUAGUGCCCGGAGCUACCCGCUCUUUCUACCCGGGUUUAGUGCCCGGAGCUACCCUUUCUGUCUGCCUGGGUUUAGUGCCCGGAGCUACCCGCUCUGUCUACCUGGGUUUAGCGCCUGGAGCGACCCGCUCUGUCUGCCUGGGUUCUCGCCUGUAACGACCGUCUCUCGCCUGGAGAGGUCGGCUCGCCGGCUCGGUCUGCCCGGCUUCAGUGCUUAGAGCGACUGGUGCUGUUCGCCCAGAGAGCCGGUUGCUCUAGGGGCUAACCUUACAAAGCUGGCCAGGGCGCCGGAGAGCGUGCUGUUUGGAUGUUAGCAUAGCCAGCUAGCUAACCCUCCUCCCGCUCAUGGAGGUAGGCUGUCCGUCACAAACCCUGGAGAUAUAAGCCAUUAGCGUUCGCUGAGGGAGGUGACCCUGGCCCCACCCCCAAACUGUCAAAACCACCCCUAUUAAAACUCGAGCGCAAAAAACUCAGUCGAGCACAAACUGCUGCUGCAGGUAAUUCACACAGCGCAUGAGGAAAAAAAGCACCUGAGAGGAGAAAAAUGAAGCUCGAGAGCAACAUUUGCACACACAAACUUUUGUUUGUAAUUUUUUCACCUGGUAAACUCUAUUCUGCUCCUGGCCCUAGUGGCUGUUACUGCCACUGAGUAUUACCUCCAGCUUUAGGCUGGGAGUACAAAACAAAGUUCCUGAUCUGCUGUCUCAAAGCCUUUUGUCUAGAGAUUAUACCCAUGUAGACUCACUGUCAGACUGUUCCAUCAUAGCAGGUCUUUAUCUUCAUGAUCUGCCAACAGUGCUGCUGCAUUCUGGCCCUCAAGCGAGACAACCACAGCUGGAUGACCAUUAGAUAUGCACAUUGUGCAGUCUUUAUGGCCACAUUCACAUUACACACCACAUUGCUCAGAUCAGAAUUGCCUAACCUGACGGUUCACAUUCAUAAAUGUUAGUGACCAGUAUCUGUGUGUAAUGUGAACGGAUCUGUCCCUGAAACGCCUCACAUGUGUACACAAUAAUACCUGUAGAAAUGUCACCUUCUUCACAAACAACAAAAGACGUCAUAUAAGACAACUUGUAGCUUUAUGAAGGGAAAUGAGUGUGUUAGUAGCUCAUAUGUGAAGCAUUUACAAAAGAAAAAGGCCAGGCGUCUUGCUUUGGAUGUUUUUUGCAGCUAUAACUGCACAGCUGCACCAAGAGAUGUGGGGGUAUAAGAUUGUAAUUGUUUAGAUAAAUCCAAGACCAAGGUAGUGCAUGAUCACACUAAAGCAGCGUUUGAAAAAAAAAACAGAAAAGGUAUAAGCUCUAUUUACCAGAAAGCAUAUAUCUGACAUAUAGGUGUGAAAAGGUGGAUACAAGAGUGUUUUAAUGGUGUUGUCAAAUUUGCAGCCCUUCCAUUCAUGAGACUUGGAUAGUUCUUGAUCCAUCUGAUAUUGUUAAAAAGAAUUUAAGAAGAAAAUCUUAUACUGCUGCCUUCCAAAAAAAAUUUUUUUUUUGUUUUCUGUAUUUUUUUUUGUAUUCAGCAGUUUUCUAUGGACUCUGUACUGAUAUGAAUGCUAGCUUCUUUAUGUCUUGAUUAGCAUAGUGCUUAGUGUUCUUAGCAUGUUUCAACGUAAUUUGUAUUCAUGUGUUAAAGUUCUAAUUCUUGUAUUUCUUGUAGUUUUGUCCAACUUCCAAUAAACCAUUAAAAGAGAUGAACUGGG